AGGAGUAUAGCUCAAUUGGUAGAGCGUCGGUCUCCAAAACCGAAGGUUGUGGGUUCGAUUCCUACUGCUCCUG
Molecule: transfer RNA, 73 nt
Filed under: Holosporales bacterium
Lineage: Bacteria; Pseudomonadati; Pseudomonadota; Alphaproteobacteria; Holosporales
Description: tRNA-Trp
Rfam family: tRNA
About the family: Transfer RNA (tRNA) molecules are approximately 80 nucleotides in length. Their secondary structure includes four short double-helical elements and three loops (D, anti-codon, and T loops).
Source: RNAcentral